UACGGAGGGUGCAAGCGUUGCUCGGAAUUAUUGGGCGUAAAGGGUAGGUAGGUGGUCUCAUUUGUCUGGGGUGAAAGCCUUGAGCUUAACUCAAGAAGUGCCUCAGAAACGGCGAGACUAGAGUUCUGGAGAGGGUCGUGGAAUUCCCGGUGUAGCGGUGAAAUGCGUAGAGAUCGGGAGGAACACCAGAGGCGAAGGCGGCGACCUGGACAGAUACUGACACUCAACUACGAAAGCGUGGGGAGCAAACAGGAUUAGAAACCCCCGUAGUCC
Molecule: ribosomal RNA, 273 nt
Filed under: uncultured bacterium
Lineage: Bacteria
Description: partial 16S ribosomal RNA
Rfam family: Bacterial small subunit ribosomal RNA
Source: RNAcentral